GACGAACGCUGGCGGCGUGCUUAACACAUGCAAGUCGAACGAUGAAACCUAGCUUGCUAGGUCGAUUAGUGGCGAACGGGUGAGUAACACGUGACUAACCUGCCCCUUUCUCUGGGAUAACGCUCCGAAAGGAGUGCUAAUACCGGAUACUCACAUCGAGGCACAUGCCUUGGUGUGGAAAGUUUUUCGGAAAGGGAUGGAGUCGCGGCCUAUCAGCUUGUUGGUGAGGUAACGGCUCACCAAGGCGACGACGGGUAGCCGGCCUGAGAGGGGGACCGGCCACACUGGGACUGAGACACGGCCCAGACUCCUACGGGAGGCAGCAGUGGGGAAUAUUGCACAAUGGGCGCAAGCCUGAUGCAGCGACGCCGCGUGAGGGAUGAAGGUCUUCGGAUUGUAAACCUCCUUCAGUAGGGACGAAGCGAAAGUGACGGUACCUAAAGAAGAAGCACCGGCUAACUACGUGCCAGCAGCCGCCGUAA
This 482-nucleotide ribosomal RNA is filed under the name uncultured bacterium. Its description in RNAcentral is "partial 16S ribosomal RNA". It matches the Rfam family "Bacterial small subunit ribosomal RNA", at positions 28 to 523 of the family's 1533-position model. The record is from RNAcentral.